GAUGAACGCUAGCUACAGGCUUAACACAUGCAAGUCGAGGGGCAGCAUUGGAGUAGCAAUACUUCAGAUGGCGACCGGCGCACGGGUGAGUAACACGUAUCCAACCUGCCGCUUACUCGGGGAUAGCCUUUCGAAAGAAAGAUUAAUACCCGAUGGUAUAAAGAGUUCGCAUGUUCUCUUUAUUAAAGAAUUUCGGUAAGCGAUGGGGAUGCGUUCCAUUAGAUAGUUGGCGGGGUAACGGCCCACCAAGUCUACGAUGGAUAGGGGUUCUGAGAGGAAGGUCCCCCACAUUGGAACUGAGACACGGUCCAAACUCCUACGGGAGGCAGCAGUGAGGAAUAUUGGUCAAU
This 350-nucleotide ribosomal RNA is filed under the name uncultured bacterium. RNAcentral's name for it is "bacterial SSU rRNA". It matches the Rfam family "Bacterial small subunit ribosomal RNA", at positions 28 to 372 of the family's 1533-position model. The record is from RNAcentral.